This 67-nucleotide transfer RNA is filed under the name Grapsus albolineatus. RNAcentral describes it as "tRNA-Pro". Lineage: Eukaryota; Metazoa; Arthropoda; Malacostraca; Decapoda; Grapsidae. The record is from RNAcentral.
CAGAGAAUAGUUUAAAAAAAUAUUAGUUUUGGGAAUUAAAGAUAAAGUAGUGUCUCUUUUUCUCUGA